AAAUUUAGCCUUAAGUUAUUGUAUAAAUUUUAGUCUUAAAUUUUAUUUAAUAAAACAUUUUAACCCCUUAAGUAAAGGUGAUUGAAAAAGCUCUAAGCGCUAUAGAAAUAGUACCGCGAGGGAAAAAUGAAAUAAUAAUGAAACAACUAAAGCUAACUACAGCAGAGAACUUACCUCGUACCUUUUGCAUCAUGGCCCAGCAAGACUUAACAAGCGAAAUGAAAUUUAAGUUUUAGACCCCGAACCUAGGCGAGCUACUUAAGACCAGCCUAUUGGGCUAACCCGUCUCUGUGGCAAUAGAGUGGGGAGAGUUUUAAGUAGAAGUGAAAAUCCUAUCGAGCCUAGAAAUAGCUGGUUAUUCAUGAAAAGAAUAUAAGUUCUGCCUUAAGUUUUAUUAAUGAUGCCUCAUCAACACCCCUAACUUAAGAGUUAUUUAAAUAAGGAACAGCUUAUUUAAAACAGGACACAACCUAAACAAUAGGGUAAAAUCUUAAUUACUACCAAGUGGGCCUGAAAGCAGCCACCUUUUAAAAAGCGUCACAGCUUGACCUUAACCCCUAAAAUACCACCAACCCAAAUGAACCCUUAAUCU
Molecule: ribosomal RNA, 592 nt
Filed under: Polypedates discantus (Malayan slender tree frog)
Lineage: Eukaryota; Metazoa; Chordata; Amphibia; Anura; Rhacophoridae
Description: partial 16S ribosomal RNA
Rfam family: Bacterial large subunit ribosomal RNA (bases 161-592)
Source: RNAcentral